CUCUUGAAAAACACUGAGACUACUGAAGAACUUUAUCUUACUCCUUGUCUAAACUCAAGCUUAUUGCUGGGCUUUCAUGGUCAGGAUCUCUGCUGUCAUAGGUUGUGUGCACUGGUAUAAACCAGUAAAGUAAGUGUAUGCCCUAGGAAAUCCAGUGUGCCUGGGGAUGUUCUCCGGCCGAAAUGGAGCCAGAGAAAAACCUCCUGGUUUACCAUUGUCAGUGAUUGCAUUUAGCCUACCAAUCCAAACAGUCACGGGAGACUGGCAAACCUGUGGGAUUUCUGGUGAUCCAAGGAGUACUGUAAAUGCUUGAUUCUGUUGUGUUGUCAUUAGCACAACUAUCUUUUCCAUGGGCUGAUAUUCAGAGCAACAGCAGUGUGCCAUUUCCAGAGAUUUUGUGACUAUGUGGUAUCAGAAAGGAGAAUCAGUGGUAUCAGAAAGUGUGGUAUCAGAAAGGAGUACUCAUUGUAGUGAGUACUUAUGCUGAAGUUAUGGGGAACCCCACGAGCUGUUCUGCCCUGAGGAUUACACAGUAAAACAAGUGGCUCUCAUCUUGCUUGACAAAUAAGACACUCAUUCAAUUUAAACAGGUAUACACUGUGACAUCCUUUAUCAGAGGAGACAAUUUUCUACUUGAGAGAAAGAAUGGCCAAAUAGUGAUACAAGAGCACAAAGCUGACACAGAAAAGAUGUUACACAUUCAGCUUUUAUUUGAAAUGACCUUCAUCCCCUAGAACAGCCAGGGCACUUCCCCACGCACUUCUGCCACUGGUGGCAGAGAAUCAGCCUUAGAGAGAGCAAAGUGCAGUGGCAGCAGCAGCAGCAUCAUCCCUGCCAGGCCCCAGCUCUCUGCUGAUUCAGGUUGUCACUGAGCCAACAGAGACUUUCAUUGCACAGCAGGUCAUCUACCAAUGCUUUAAAACAAGACUGCACCCCCUUUCCUCAUUUGACCAGCUUACUGAAAGCUCAUAGCAAAAUGUGCUGGUUUAACUUAUCCUCAGGUGGGUAACAUUCCAAUUAUUUUGACAUUGUGAAAUCUGGACUUUGCUAAGCAGGUAGGAAAAAUAAAAAAUGCUAUUAGGUUACCCUGAACUGUCUGUUGGCAUUCAUGUCCCAGACGCCAACUGGUUGGAAUAACAGCUAUCAGGCUCAGUUAGACUGGAAAGACACAAAGCAAAAACUGCCUGUUGAUGGGGAUGCCUGAAGGAGGGAUGGUGUCAGAGGAACUCAGUAGAAAACAGCCUGAAGUGUCUCUUCUCACAUGCUCUGUAAUUAAACAUAAGAGUGAAGACUUCCCUUCAGAAAAAAACGCUCUUAAGGAAGACUUAACAUCUUACAUAAAAACAAAUGAGAGAAAAUCCAUCCAGAAUACAAAAUCCAAGGCUGUCGCACAGCCAGAGGCAUUUGGCUGAGGACAGUAAGCCAGCAGCAAUUGCUGCAGGGAAAACCACUGUAGAUUUGGCAGCAGAGAUGUUUCCAGGCAGUCAGGCCAUAUGAAUGGAAUAAUAGCAUCUACAUGGAUGGGAGAUAUGCCUGCUGGAUCAGAUCUGGAUAUUCUGAUGGUUGAUUUAAAGGAACAGUCUUUUUUGUUUAGGAAGAGCAUAUCUCACUAGGCAUAGGAUACCCAUGGAUAUGUUUGCCUCUGUCAAGGAACAUCUCUUAGCUCCAGGUGAACUGUGUUUUUGUGAAAGUUCCGUCUUGCCUGUCUCUAUCCUUCCCCAAAUCAUGUGACUGAGAGGCUAGAGAAUUUAAGUCUUUAAGUCACCUGUCCUUGAGGAGAAGUCUGCAGUUACAACUGCUUUUGUGCAAGGAAGCUGCUGAGCAGCUGUAGCCUGAGGAAAAAAAACCCAACCAACAAAUGGUUGUUGCCAGCUGGGGUCAAAGCAGAAGCUCAGCGGGGUUUGGUUGGGGAUUGCUAGGGAAAACAGUGAAGAGGUUAGCAAUGGGAGAAGUGGCCUGGAGGAUGCAGUCAAAAGUGAGUUUCUGUGAGCUGGGAAAAACUGCUUGGCAGGUUAGGAACCACCUGUAGGGACGAGGAUGAGGUAAAGCCCAGAUUUUUAUCUCACUGCAAUUGCCUCAUUUGAUGGUGGUCUGCGCUUCUCUGCAGAGACCCUGAAAAGGUGCUAGGAAACUCUUCAAUUUCAUUGCCAUUAAAAAUUCCAGGGAAAUCUCUGGAUCUGAUGUGGAAUUAAAGCUUUGAAUUUGCCUUGCAAGCCAAAGAAGGAGACAGUUAGGAAACAUGACAGACAGGUCAACUAUUUAGAACUGUGGGAAAAAUGUUCAUUGUGGCUACAGUCCUUCAUAUAGAAGGGCAUGGUUGUAGACUGGAUGGCCAGAGGCUGCCACCAGUCCUACCUCACACAGGUGCAGGGUAGAUCCUGUAUGUUUGUGGUGGAAAACAAAGCUUAGAAAUAGAAGAUUCACAAAAGAAAACUAAAAAUAUUAGUAGGUUUCAUGACUCACGGCAGUGCUUAAGGGGUUUUAUGUUUGUUUCGGUUUUCUUAAAAGUCAUAUUACAGUCAAAUUUUCUCUUUCAUUUGUUAUAACUUUAAGGAGUAUCUUUUCAAUUUAACUUUAAUUUAAUUUUGUGACAUUGUCUGUAGCAGCAGUUUUUUAUUCUUCUAAACACCUUGGACUGAUGUAGCAAUGACAGGAAACACCAGCAACCUCCUGAUAAAGAACACCUUUUGGGUAAACUCAUUGCCAGAGACACACUGAAUGAUGUGAUAUGCUGAAAAAAUGCACAGGUUGAGUUCAAGAAAAUGAGAAAAUGUACUUCAUCAUCUUGCAGGUCUUGUCCUCAGCAUCUCUCUGCCAAAGAAAAAUGCUUUUCUUCAAAACCUAAUAUGAGGCAGUGAUUACAAAAAACCCCAUAGAUACUUGAAAUUUUCUGACCUGCCCACAGUCACAUAAUUUGCUCAGCAGCAAUGCAAGGUGAACACAUAGUGGAUCCCACUCCUGUUGCUUUGCUUGUUGAGACCGCAGUCCCCUGAGAUGUGAGGGCACAGCAGCUGGCACAGCCCUUUCACCAUAACAGGAAAAAUGGAAAUAAGCCACAGGCAGUCAGCACUCCAGAUGGAAAGGGUCACUAGUGGAAAGCUGAGUUCAAACCCUAUUGAUCCCAACAGCCCUAGCACUGACGCACAAAUGAACAUAAAGUAGGAACAAAAAAUCUAAAUGCAAACCAUCUAAAGUGCAUGACAUAUGUGUGUACAAGUAUCCUAUCACAGAUGUAAGCAUGCAUACUACCAAACAGUAUACAGCUCAGAAGGGAAUGAAAAAAAAUACAUUUGCAAGUGAUGCCACUGGACACUGCUGAACAGAGCAAUGCACAAAUGUGAUUCAGCAGCUGCUCCCUUCCUGCUCUGCACAGAUAACACGAGGUUUCAUGCAUGUGGCAGCUCCUAUCAUUUUCUGUCCAAAUCUGGGGAAGGAGACAGAAGAUAGGAGGAAGCAGUAUUUUAUAUUGCUAUCUAGCAAACUUCUCAGAAACAUUGAAGAAAUGGUGUCAACACACCUCUGAAAGAGAAACUGCUGCUCAGCUGAGAGGAAACAUGACGCCCAAAGAACCUCUUGUGAAGAAGUGGAUGAAGGUGUGCAGAUACGACUUCUGAAGAUGAAGAAUACAGUACUAUUCUUGAUUCAUAAAGCAAGUAAUUGCUUGUACAGUUAAUUUUAAGGCUUUGAAAAUGUGAAAAAUCUCUACCCCUUCUUAAGAGAUAGUGUGUAUCAGAUGACUAAGGUAAUCAUGAUAA
This is a long non-coding RNA of Corvus hawaiiensis (hawaiian crow), 3755 nucleotides long. RefSeq lists it as uncharacterized. NCBI's taxonomy places the organism in Eukaryota, Metazoa, Chordata, Aves, Passeriformes, Corvidae. The transcript has 5 exons. The record is from RefSeq and is a predicted model, not a curated record.